Molecule: ribosomal RNA, 258 nt
Filed under: uncultured prokaryote
Description: partial 16S ribosomal RNA
Rfam family: Bacterial small subunit ribosomal RNA
Source: RNAcentral
CACGUAGGGGCGAGCGUUGUCCGGAAUUACUGGGCGUAAAGGGCGCGCAGGCGGUAUAUCAAGUCAGCUGUCAAAGACUGGGGCUCAACCCUGGUAUGCGGUUGAAACUGAUAUGCUGGAGUGCUGUAGAGGCAAGUGGAAUUCCCAGUGUAGCGGUGAAAUGCGUAGAUAUUGGGAAGAACACCGGUGGCGAAGGCGACUUGCUGGGCAGCAACUGACGCUGAGGCGCGAAAGCCAGGGGAGCAAACGGGGAUUAGA